CUAAGAAUCUUGCGCAAUGGGCGAAAGCCUGACGCAGCAACGCCGCGUGGGGGAGGAAGGCCUUCGGGUCGUAAACCCCUUUUGCGAGGGAAGAAGUUCUGACGGUACCUCGCGAAUAAGUCACGGCUAACUACGUGCCAGCAGCCGCGGUAAUACGUAGGUGACAAACGUUGUCCGGAUUUAUUGGGCGUAAAGAGCCCGCAGGCGGCUUGACAAGUUUCAGGUGAAAUCUCCCGGCUCAACUGGGAGGGGUCUUGGAAAACUGUCAGGCUUGAGGCAGGAAGGGGGAUGCGGAAUUCCGUGUGUAGCGGUGAAAUGCGUAGAUAUACGGAGGAACACCAGCGGCGAAGGCGGCAUCCUGGUCCUGACCUGACGCUCAGGGGCGAAAGCGUGGGGAGCAAACCGGAUUAGAUACCCGGGUAGUCCACGCUGUAAACGAUGAGUACUAGGGGUUGGGGGUAUCGACCCCCUCAGUUCCGAAACUAACGCGAUAAGUACUCCGCCUGGGGACUACGGCCGCAAGGCUA
This 527-nucleotide ribosomal RNA is filed under the name uncultured bacterium. RNAcentral describes it as "bacterial SSU rRNA". It matches the Rfam family "Bacterial small subunit ribosomal RNA", at positions 355 to 896 of the family's 1533-position model. The record is from RNAcentral.